GCCGCCUCUAAUUCCUCUCUUAUCUUAAACGCUCCCAAAACCCGGAUCGUCGCCUAUCCCUCUUCGACCCAAAUCCACCAGAAUCAAUGGCUGCUUUAGCCAUGGAUGACUUAUACGCACCUCCUACUGCUUUCACAUGCCUGAUGCCUGGAGAUUCGAGGCCACUCUUCGAGGGUCUUUACCCAGACCUUCAUCAAUUCAAGGUUUGCAGCCAUCUCCGGCCCUGCUCUGACAUAUCUUAGCAUUCUAAGCCUAGUUCCGACCUUAUCGACUCAGAUCUGAUCUUGUAUUUUCCAAGCCUUUCUCGUCCUAUAGGGUUCUCAGAAACCCUAGCCUAUUCGAGGAUCUUUUUUUGUUUAUUCAUUUGGAUCUGUGCUAGAUCUAUGCUAUAUGUGAUAUUUAAAGCAUUUUCCCUGAAUUUCCUUUUCAAAACCCUUUGAUUUUAAAUUAGUGUUUUUGAGUCUGUCUGUUUAUUCUUUGUUUGAUUCGUCUGCUUAAGAAUCUCUAGGUCUAGUUAGUAUUGAAAACUCUAAUUUUUUAGAUUUGUUUGAGCUUCUGAGACUACAUGUUAGUGUUUGUUUGAUUUACUGCUUAAGUGGUGAAACCCCUAAUUUUUAGGGUUUAUUUGAGAUUCUGAGAUUGUUCGUGUGUUUAUCUGCUUACCUCCUCUAAACUAG
RNAcentral lists this long non-coding RNA (677 nucleotides) under Nicotiana benthamiana. RNAcentral's name for it is "long non-coding RNA (NBEN_LNC035890)". Lineage: Eukaryota; Viridiplantae; Streptophyta; Magnoliopsida; Solanales; Solanaceae. The record is from RNAcentral.